RNAcentral lists this ribosomal RNA (410 nucleotides) under uncultured bacterium. RNAcentral's name for it is "bacterial SSU rRNA". It matches the Rfam family "Bacterial small subunit ribosomal RNA", at positions 370 to 772 of the family's 1533-position model. The record is from RNAcentral.
AAUGGACGAAAGUCUGACGCAGCAACGCCGCGUGGGUGAUGAAGGUCUUCGGAUUGUAAAACCCUGUCGUCAGGGACGAAGGUUGGGGCCUUAAUACGGUUUCAACUUGACGGUACCUGGAGAGGAAGCCCCGGCUAACUCUGUGCCAGCAGCCGCGGUAAUACAGAGGGGGCAAGCGUUAUUCGGAAUUACUGGGCGUAAAGGGCGCGUAGGCGGUUUUUUAAGUCGGAUGUGUAAUCCCCGAGCUCAACUUGGGAACUGCAUCCGAAACUGGGAAGCUAGAGUACUGGAGAGGGUGGUAGAAUUCCACGUGUAGCGGUGAAAUGCGUAGAGAUGUGGAGGAAUACCAGUGGCGAAGGCGGCCACCUGGACAGUAACUGACGCUGAGGCGCGAAAGUGUGGGGAGCAAA